CCUACGGGAGGCAGCAGUGGGGAAUAUUGCGCAAUGGGGGAAACCCUGAUGCAGCGACGCCGCGUGAAGGAAGAAGGAUUUCGGUAUGUAAACUUCUAUCAGCAGGGAAGAAAAUGACGGUGACUGACUAAGAAGCCCCGGCUAACUACGUGCCAGCAGCCGCGGUACUACGUAGGGGGCAAGCGUUAUUCGGAUUUACUGGGUGUAAAGGGAGCGUAGGCGGUUUAGCAAGUCAGAAGUGAAAGCCCGGGGCUCAACUCCGGGACUGCUUUUGAAACUGUUGAACUAGAUUGCAGGAGAGGUAAGUGGAAUUCCUUGUGUAGCGGUGAAAUGCGUAGAUAUUAGGAGGAACACCAGUGGCGAAGGCGGCUCACUGGACUGUAAAUGACGCUGAGGCUCGAAAGCGUGGGGAGCAAACAGGAUUAGAUACCCCAGUAGUC
RNAcentral lists this ribosomal RNA (440 nucleotides) under uncultured bacterium. RNAcentral's name for it is "partial 16S ribosomal RNA". It matches the Rfam family "Bacterial small subunit ribosomal RNA", at positions 338 to 795 of the family's 1533-position model. The record is from RNAcentral.